GAUGAACGCUGGCGGCGUGCCUAAUACAUGCAAGUCGAGCGAACGGACUAGAAGCUUGCUUCUCUGAUGUUAGCGGCGGACGGGUGAGUAACACGUGGAUAACCUACCUAUAAGACUUGGAUAACUUCGGGAAACCGUAGCUAAUACCGGAUAAUAUUUUGAACCGCAUGGUUCAAAAGUGAAAGACGGUCUUGCUGUCACUUAUAGAUGGAUCCGCGCUGCAUUAGCUAGUUGGUAAGGUAACGGCUUACCAAGGCAACGAUGCAUAGCCGACCUGAGAGGGUGAUCGGCCACACUGGAACUGAGACACGGUCCAGACUCCUACGGGAGGCAGCAGUAGGGAAUCUUCCGCAAUGGGCGAAAGCCUGACGGAGCAACGCCGCGUGAGUGAUGAAGGUCUUCGGAUCGUAAAACUCUGUUAUUAGGGAAGAACAUAUGUGUAAGUAACUGUGCACAUCUUGACGGUACCUAAUCAGAAAGCCACGGCUAACUACGUG
RNAcentral lists this ribosomal RNA (497 nucleotides) under uncultured bacterium. RNAcentral describes it as "partial 16S ribosomal RNA". It matches the Rfam family "Bacterial small subunit ribosomal RNA", at positions 28 to 507 of the family's 1533-position model. The record is from RNAcentral.